GGAUCAUAGAUGGAGAGCUGGGAGGAAUCUUGGGACUCAUUUAGGAACCCUUCAUUUUACAAAGUCGGAAACUGAAGGAGGAAAAGACUGGAUCUAGGUCAUUACAGACAGGAGACAGCAGCGCCCCCAACCAUGGAACCAUGGAACCCCUAGAUCUGAGUAUGGAGGUAACCCUGAGUACUUCAAAACUAUGCUAUUGGAGGAAAAGCUCUACCCAACUGGAAAGACUUCGUUCCCAUAGGCCUGGUCCAGGUCAAUCUGCCCAACAUACGAGACCUUCCUCUGAGAAUACCAGAGCCUCACUCUGGCCAUGUGCCUGUUCUUACUCAUACAUGAUCCAUGGCUGGUCUACCUCCUUUUUUCUUCAGUCAUUUUGAUGGUGCCUCUCAUUCUUCUCAGGUAAUCAGUGACUACAUCUGUACAACAAGAACAAGCCUGUGAGACUUCCAGCUGCUUUCCAGGGUUAUGGCAACCAUUAACGAGAGAAAGCCAAACUCUCUAGGCUGAAGCUCUGUAUAAAGGAACAUGACUGAUUGUUUACCCAAAUGGGGCCUGUCAUGUCUCACAACCUCCCACAAUUAAUUUGUAGAAUUAAGCUGUAGACAUGACACAUCUAAUACCUUUUUGUAUUGGCACAGUGGUAAUAAAAAGAACUUUGGAAUAGGAUCCAAAGAAAUUUGUCUUUGAAUCUCGGCUCUGACACUUAGAGUACUAGCCGUGAGAAAUCACUGAAAUCUCUUUUUAAAAAAUAUUUAUUUAUACAUUUUGAGUUCUGAAUUGUCUCCCACUUUCCCUCCCAACCCUACAUUAGAGAAAGCCAACAUUUGAUAAAGAUAUUUAUAUGGAACCAGAAAAUACAUACUUCCAUUUAUCAAUUCUUUCCCUGGAGAUGGAGAGCAGCUUCCUUCAUAAAGUCCUUCGUGGUUGAUUUGAAUGUUCAUAUUACUGAGAAUAGCUUAGUCAUUCACAGUUACUCUUCAAAUAAUGCAGCUGUUAGUCUAUUCGACAUGCUCUUGGUUCUGCUCGUUUCAUUCUGCAUUAUUUCAUGCAAAUCUUUCCAUUUUUUCCUAAAACCAACCUCCUUGGCCUUUCUGACAGCACAGUAGUAUGCCAUCACAAUCUUAUACGACAAUUUAUUCAGCCAUUUCCCAAUUGAUGGGCAUCUCCUCAAUUUCUAGA
Molecule: long non-coding RNA, 1179 nt
Organism: Gracilinanus agilis (Agile Gracile Mouse Opossum)
Lineage: Eukaryota; Metazoa; Chordata; Mammalia; Didelphimorphia; Didelphidae
Exons: 4
Source: RefSeq, a predicted model, not a curated record